UGAUGGUUUCAAUCCAUUCGAGAUCAUGAGCAAUACUUACAGUAUAUGAUCCGUUAUGCUAAUACCGUACAAUAUUGCACCAUGAAAAUAUAUGAAAGAGCCAUUUAUAUUUUUUAUCAUUGCUUAUUCCUAGACCUACAGCUCCUGAUAAUAUGAUAGAUAUUUAUCUGCGACCCUUAAUCGAUGAAUUGAGAGAACUUUGGG
RNAcentral lists this long non-coding RNA (204 nucleotides) under Elaeis guineensis (African oil palm). RNAcentral's name for it is "long non-coding RNA (EGUI_LNC073114)". The record is from RNAcentral. Lineage: Eukaryota; Viridiplantae; Streptophyta; Magnoliopsida; Arecales; Arecaceae.